This 449-nucleotide ribosomal RNA is filed under the name uncultured bacterium. RNAcentral's name for it is "bacterial SSU rRNA". It matches the Rfam family "Bacterial small subunit ribosomal RNA", at positions 355 to 796 of the family's 1533-position model. The record is from RNAcentral.
UGGGGAAUAUUGCGCAAUGGGCGAAAGCCUGACGCAGCGACGCCGCGUGGAGGAUGAAGGUUUUCGGAUUGUAAACUCCUGUUAAGUGGGAAGAAAAGCCUGUUUUUAAUACAGGCAGGUUAUGACGGUACCACUAGAGAAAGCACCGGCUAACUUCGUGCCAGCAGCCGCGGUAAUACGAGGGGUGCAAGCGUUAUUCGGAAUAAUUGGGCGUAAAGGGUGCGUAGACGGCCUGUUAAGUCUGUUGUUAAAUUCUCCGGCUCAACCGGGGGGCUGCAAUGGAAACUGGCGGACUAGAGGGUGAGAGAGAGAAGUGGAAUUCCCGGAGUAGCGGUAAAAUGCGUAGAUCUCGGGAGGAACACCGAUGGCGAAGGCAGCUUCUUGGCUCAUUCCUGACGUUGAUGCACGAAAGCGUGGGGAGCAAACAGGAUUAGAUACCCCCGUAGUCC